GAAUCAUACUGCAUAGAUAAUUCCUCACCGGGGCGUGUCUAAUGCAAACAAAUCAUUUCCAGCCAGUAUGCAGACAUAUAGCGAGCAUAAUUUAUGUACCAAGGACUCAUUGAUCACCCUGCUGAUAGGCGAAGCUAUACCUGUCACAUUUCAGGAAGAGUUACUCCUCUUCAACAAACAUCUGGAGUCUUAAUAACAUUUUGUCAUAAAUUAGAUGGGUUUAUACCUACUUAAAUUAUAAGUUUCCACUACAUAUAGCAGCAGUUACUGUAUGUAUAAGGUCACAUAACUGCCACCUAACACAUAAUUGCUCUUCUGCCCGCACAACUUAGUUAGAAUAUCUCAACAAUCAACAUCGCAGUAAAGGCAAGACAACAGCACUUAAAGUAUGUAGCAAGAUUAAGCACGACAAAUUCUUCAAAUAUGCAUUCGAGGCACUUUGAGAUGAUUUGCACCUUCCCGAGAAUGUCACCACCCUCCUGGAGUGAUAUCUUUACGCCCAGGAAAAUACCACAUCGAUCAGUAAUGCCCAUGGGGGACACAAGACCCUGCUCCAC
Molecule: non-coding RNA, 557 nt
Organism: Paramuricea clavata
Lineage: Eukaryota; Metazoa; Cnidaria; Anthozoa; Malacalcyonacea; Plexauridae
Source: the annotation of a GenBank genome assembly